RNAcentral lists this long non-coding RNA (972 nucleotides) under Linum usitatissimum (flax). RNAcentral's name for it is "long non-coding RNA (LUSI_LNC005213)". The record is from RNAcentral. Lineage: Eukaryota; Viridiplantae; Streptophyta; Magnoliopsida; Malpighiales; Linaceae.
UCUCCCUCCCUGUUGUUGAAAGCCAAAGCUCCUCUUCAACCAGCAGCGAUUCCGACGGCCAUCACCAAGUUCCCCAGCAAAGCAUCAUCCUUCCACCUAGCAGUACCAUUGCUGCCGUAGCUGAUGCCUUGGAGAAGAAUGCUCAUAACUGGUACAGUACAUACAUGAAGCUAAGAGUCAGUUAGAUGACAACCAACCAAGUAGUAACACUACCAAACUUAAAAAAAAAGCUCCCUUUUUUACUGUUUCUACAUAGCUCAUUCAUUACUAUUGUGUCUAUUUUCUUAAUGAUCCAAAACUGUGCAGGCCUAUAACUCCCCAACUCCCAACAGAUCUAUCAGUUCAAGUCCAAGAUGCUACUUUCACUGUUCACAAGGUACCAGUUUCCUUUUCAAACUAUAAAAGUUAGCAACACAUCACAGGCUAUGUAUUCAUCAUAACCCAGGAUCUGUACAUCACAUUUCCUGCGAUCAUAUAACUAGGAUCAAUACUUGGAUCAUGAAAGGGUGGAUGUCGGUCCGGUUAAGGUAAACCGUGACCAGGUUUUGAACAGAUUAACCAAAUUUAGGGACAGGUUAUUUAGCAUUUAUCCUCCUGCAUGGCUUAGCAUAUUAGACCGUGAAUCAAAAUGAAUGACUUGAGCAAUCUUUGGUCUGCUACAGUUACCUUUGGUGUCGAAAUGCGGCUACAUAGCACAUUUGGAACUCCAGCCUUCAAUUUCAAACUUCGGCUAUGAAGUGAAGCUGGAAAACUUCCCAGGAGGAUCAGAGACAUUCGAAGCCGUCUUGAGAUUCUGCUACGGCCUCCCUCUAGAUUUAAACCCUCAGAACAUAGUUCCACUAAGAUGCGCAUCAGAGUACCUGGAGAUGAGUGAAGAUCUUGAAGAUGGAAACCUCAUCACAAAGACAGAAGCUUUCCUCACAUUUGUCAUUCUCUCUUCAUGGAAAGACACAAUCACUGUCCUUCAAUCCU